AUAUCUCUGUUGUAACGUCACACAGACUGACAGUGACUCUGGUCCCCAAGUUCAUUUUGCUCAGAACACAAUAAUGAUCACAGCUGGUCUGAUCAAACUCUCUGCAGCUCUGCUCUGUAUUACAGGUCUAACAGAUGGGAGUGAUGUCAAUCAGACCCCCGUGCUGUGGGGGGACGAGGGUCAGUCUGCCACAAUGAACUGCAGUCACACUAAGGACAUCUCAUAUCAACAGAUGUACUGGUACAGACAGCUACCAGGGGAGAGGAUGAAGCAAAUAGUUCUCACAACUACAACUCCCCCACAUGAAUAUGAAAGUGGCUUCAGUGAGGACAAAUUUCCUGCAACGAAGAACAAUGCUCAGACUGGAUCUUUGACAGUGGAGAAGCUGCUGCCUGAGGACAGUGGAGUGUAUUUUUGUGCUGUGAGUCAACACAGUGAUACAGGUGACUUAGACAGCUGCACAAAUACACAACUGUUGGUGUCACAGAGAAUAGAAGACAUCAGUGUCUUUAAUUGUCUGUAGGGGGAGCUCAAGACCUUAAAUGUGGUUCACAGUAAAUGUGAAAUGAUGGGCAAUGAUGUCACACCAUGGACUCCAUACUACUGAACAUGUUUCCUGACAUUUGUAGAAUCCAAAUCAGUGCUGAUUUAAUUAAUUGCAUUCAUUUUGAAUUCCAGUAAACUUUUAU
Molecule: non-coding RNA, 689 nt
Organism: Siniperca chuatsi (mandarin fish)
Lineage: Eukaryota; Metazoa; Chordata; Actinopteri; Centrarchiformes; Sinipercidae
Source: the annotation of a RefSeq genome assembly